RNAcentral lists this unclassified non-coding RNA (233 nucleotides) under uncultured fungus. RNAcentral describes it as "sequence contains ITS1". Lineage: Eukaryota; Fungi. The record is from RNAcentral.
UGUUUGCGUUGUGCUCUUAUAUGCAGUCAUGACCGCACGCCGCUGCGCCGCCGCAGGCAGCGUGUCCCGGUCUUUUGGGUUGCGCCAGAUACCUCUGGCAGGCCGCCGGGCGCUGGGUGGCCCGGCUCUUAGACAGCUGCAGUGCUGCGCCCUGCCAAAGCAACAGAUACGGUCCACACGGGUUGGAGUACGGGUACUCGGUAAUGAUCCCUCCGCUGGUUCACCAACGGAGA